This is a non-coding RNA of Triticum aestivum (bread wheat), 148 nucleotides long. NCBI's taxonomy places the organism in Eukaryota, Viridiplantae, Streptophyta, Magnoliopsida, Poales, Poaceae. The record is from Rfam.
UUCAUACUCCCUCCGUCCCAAAAUUCUUGUCUUAGAUUUGUCUACAUACAGAUGUAUCUAUUCACGUUUUAGUGUUAGAUACAUCCGUAUCUAGAUACGGAUAUCCGUAUCUAGAUACAUCAGAAUUUUGGGACGGAGGGAGUAUUAU